UCGGUUACGACUGGGUCUUGCGGGGCGU
RNAcentral lists this small RNA (28 nucleotides) under Bombyx mori (domestic silkworm). Its description in RNAcentral is "ovarian small RNA-29060". Lineage: Eukaryota; Metazoa; Arthropoda; Insecta; Lepidoptera; Bombycidae. The record is from RNAcentral.